Molecule: long non-coding RNA, 743 nt
Organism: Dendroctonus ponderosae (mountain pine beetle)
Lineage: Eukaryota; Metazoa; Arthropoda; Insecta; Coleoptera; Curculionidae
Exons: 3
Source: RefSeq, a predicted model, not a curated record
ACUUCCCGCUUGUCUGUGUCAUAUUUGACAGCAAAUGGGGCGCAAAUGGGGCUCCCAUUUACUGAAAUUCCACGAAUUUUGAUCCCUCCAUUUCAAACAUUGGAUACAGGCCUUCCAGCUAGUUAAUUUGCUAUUGUUUACGUAUGGAUCCCUGUAGGGAUUAAUUUCCGCAAUGUUGGUUUGGUCGCCAGUUCCAAAAAUUCCCCUGAGACAGCUGGAAAUGAAAUUAUGCAGCAUAAACUGUACCGCCUUAUAGUCAAUAAAAAUCCAGUCCGAAAACUUUUAGGCAGAAAAGAGAAAUAUUCUACUUUCCAGAUUCGCCCCUCUAUCGUUGUGCCGGGAUCGCUUUAUUUCACCAUAAAACCUUUUUAGAGCGGGAACACCCACGGCCAAAUAUGAUAACAACUGCUUUUCUUCAUGUAUAUACACCUUUUAUUGAAAAUUAUUCAAAUUAAACCAGACAUAUUCGGAGCAGGAAUUUAUUUCUUUCUCAGGGGCCUGUGCUGCGUAAAAUAAGAAUAUUUUCUUUAUACAAUUGCCUGAAAAUCGCACAAUUAUUUGGCUUUGUAAAAGCUUUAUGGGCUUUCUUGAAAAUUAUUGAAUUUUGGAAAGCUGUUUGAACACGUACAAAAAUGAUUAAAAUUGUUAAUCUUCCAUCCACUCAUAUAUCAAAUCGAAUGUCUGCAAUCGACGUUUUAGGCUGACUUGAGGUUUAGGACUAACAUAAAUUUACUUUCUUGGCA